AAGUGGUUGGCCGAGUGGUUAAGGCGUUCGACUGCUAAUCGAAUGGGAUUUCCCGCAUGAGUUCGAAUCUCAUAUCGCUCG
This 81-nucleotide transfer RNA is filed under the name Hypsibius dujardini. It matches the Rfam family "tRNA". From Rfam's summary of the family: Transfer RNA (tRNA) molecules are approximately 80 nucleotides in length. Lineage: Eukaryota; Metazoa; Tardigrada; Eutardigrada; Parachela; Hypsibiidae. The record is from Rfam by way of RNAcentral. RNAcentral also lists the same sequence under 1 other name.